ACGCAACGCGAAGAACCUUACCUAACCCUUGACAUGUCCGGAACUUGCCAGAGAUGGCUUGGUGCCCGAAAGGGAAUCGGAACACAGGUGCUGCAUGGCUGUCGUCAGCUCGUGUCGUGAGAUGUUGGGUUAAGUCCCGCAACGAGCGCAACCCUUAUCAUUAGUUGCUACGCAAGGGCACUCUAAUGAGACUGCCGGUGACAAACCGGAGGAAGGUGGGGAUGACGUCAAGUCCUCAUGGCCCUUAUGGGUAGGGCUUCACACGUCAUACAAUGGUCGGUACAGAGGGUUGCCAAGCCGCGAGGCGGAGCCAAUCCCACAAAGCCGAUCGUAGUCCGGAUUGUUCUCUGCAACUCGAGAGCAUGAAGUCGGAAUCGCUAGUAAUCGCAGGUCAGCAUACUGCGGUGAAUACGUUCCCGGGUCUU
Molecule: ribosomal RNA, 425 nt
Filed under: uncultured Thiobacillus sp.
Lineage: Bacteria; Pseudomonadati; Pseudomonadota; Betaproteobacteria; Nitrosomonadales; Thiobacillaceae
Description: bacterial SSU rRNA
Rfam family: Bacterial small subunit ribosomal RNA
Source: RNAcentral